RNAcentral lists this long non-coding RNA (550 nucleotides) under Rattus norvegicus (Norway rat). Its description in RNAcentral is "long non-coding RNA NONRATT023133". Lineage: Eukaryota; Metazoa; Chordata; Mammalia; Rodentia; Muridae. The record is from RNAcentral.
CGCGCACUAGAGGGAGCGCUCCUGUAGGGGUGGACUGGAGGGACGGCGCGCUAGUGGGCGCUCACCAGCGGGAACGCAAGGGAGGGCACGCGACUGGUGGGAACGCACCUGCGGGAGCGCGCAUUAGAAGGAGCGCACCGGGCGAACCGGAAGGGGAGCGCGGCAGCGGGCGUUCGCAAGGGACGCCGGGAGUCUCUGUGUCUAGCGGCGCCGGACAGGGAAACUUCCUUAGCUUUGCAAUUGCCCAAGGUAAUAAUCUUCAGUAGUCAAGAUGUCUUCAGCACCGGAUCCUCCAACAGUUAAAAAAGAACCAUCAAAAGAGAGAAACUUUGAAAACCCAGGCCUCCGAGGGACGCACCCAACAACCUUGUUUCGAGCUGUGAAUCCUGAGCUCUUCAUUAAACCUAACAAACCUGUGAUGGCUUUUGGAUUGGUAGCCCUUUCACUCUGUGUGGCUUACAUUGGUUAUCUGCAUGCAACGCAAGAGAACAAAAAGGACCUCUAUGAAGCCAUUGACAGUGAAGGGCAUCGGUACAUGAGGAGAAAAACA